AUACGUAGGUGGCAAGCGUUAUCCGGAAUUAUUGGGCGUAAAGAGUGAGCAGGCGGUUUAUUAAGUCUGAGGGUAAAGUGGGGGGCUCAACCCCAUAAAGCCUUGGAACCUGUUUGACUAGAGUAAGGGAGACGGGAAAGGACCUCCAUAUGUAGCGGUGAAAUGCGUAGAUAUAUGGAAGAACACCAGUGGCGAAGGCGCUUCACUAGCCCGAAACUGACGCUCAGUCACGAAAGCGUGGGUAGCAAAUAGGAUUAGAUACCCUAGUAGUCCACGCUGUAAACGAUGACAACUAAAUAUUGCCGCGAGGCAGUGUUGAAGCUAACGCAUUAAGUUGUCCGCCUGGGGAGUACGGUCGCAAGACUGAAACUUAAAUGAAUUGACGGGG
Molecule: ribosomal RNA, 388 nt
Filed under: uncultured bacterium
Lineage: Bacteria
Description: partial 16S ribosomal RNA
Rfam family: Bacterial small subunit ribosomal RNA
Source: RNAcentral